Long non-coding RNA from Schistocerca cancellata (South American locust), 1392 nucleotides. RefSeq lists it as uncharacterized. The record is from RefSeq and is a predicted model, not a curated record. Lineage: Eukaryota; Metazoa; Arthropoda; Insecta; Orthoptera; Acrididae. The transcript has 5 exons.
UGUAGAGGCAAAUUACAGUUUUUCGUGUUGGAGAUUUUCCGCAUUUUUUUCAAAAUGGAAUGGAACAAACAGGCUUUAAGCAUCCUCAUUCAGGCGUACAGCGAAGAAAAGUGUAUGUACAACCCGCAGGACCCGCUAUAUUCAUAAUAAGAUACCACAGUCACUCUCAUCAAAUCCAUGUAGCACGACCACUGUCAAUGACUCUUAUAAUACUGAGGUGACCACAAUUACUGAAGAGACCAUAGUAAAUGAGGGAUAUAUUGAAGAUGACAACAGCAAUUACUCCCAAGACAUAUUUACUGUGGAAUUGUCAGGGGGAAGUACACCUGUGUCAACACCAUCACCUCGAAGUGAGCAGCCUUAUGCUUCAGCCAGAAAGAGGUGUAGGAAGGACACUGAGGACGAAUUAGCCACCUCAACAUUGUCAGUCUUAAGAGACAUUAGAGUUUCAAUUACUGGCAGUAAUGAAGAUGACAAGUUUGGGCAGUAUGUUGCUGCUGAAUUGAAGAAAUUGAAAAAUCCAGCAAUUAAGGCUGACGUGAAAUUGAAUGUCAUGAAAUGUAUCAUGGAUGGCAUACGUAAAGAAAUCUGUAACUGAUUUUAAAGUUAAGGCAUUGCAUUUCAUUGAGUUAUUUUUAAAUAAAAGAUUGCCUUUUGUACAUUAUUACUGUUAGAAGUUGUACUUCUUAACGGCUUCCCACUGCCAUGAAACAUAACCUGUUGUACUAAAGAAUUCACAAAAUUUUUCGCGCACUUCCCCGUCACACAGUGAUGUGCGAUUUCCACUCUGCUGGGGUAUGCUAGAGAGAAAUUUCUCUCCUCGCCAGGAACCAUUAUUUACGGUGCACAAGUCUGUGUUUUCUGUAUUAGCAGCUGUCAGAUGUGUGGUGUCUGCCUCUUCAAUCAAGUAGUUGUGCAGUAUGCAUAAAGUCUGAACAAUUAAUUCCACUUUCUCAACAGAUAGUCGAAUUGUACUGAGAAGAACUCUGAAGCGGUUGGCCAGAAUUCCGAAAGUGUUUUCCACUACUCGCCUUCCUCUUGACAAUCUGUAGUUAAAAAUCUGUUUGGAUUUCUGGUUCUGGCAGUCUCUGUAGGGUUUCAUGAUAUAUGGCUCCAGGUGAAAGGCAUCAACAGCAAGAAUCACGUAUGGCACUUCAAUGUUUGUGCCAGGAAGUGAUUUUUGCUGUGGUACCUUCAACCAGUUUUCCCGAAGUGCACUGCUGAUCAGGCUGUUUGCAUACACCCCACCAUCACUCACUCUUCCGUUGCACCCAAUGUCAAUCAAAGAGAAUCGGUACCUAGCAUCAACAAUAGCUAGUAAAACAACACUGUGGAAUUUUUUAUAAUUGAAUUAUGUUGAGCCAGCAGUUCGUGGUGGGGCAAAUGCUAUGU